RNAcentral lists this ribosomal RNA (465 nucleotides) under Vreelandella stevensii. RNAcentral's name for it is "partial 16S ribosomal RNA". It matches the Rfam family "Bacterial small subunit ribosomal RNA", at positions 338 to 795 of the family's 1533-position model. The record is from RNAcentral. Lineage: Bacteria; Pseudomonadati; Pseudomonadota; Gammaproteobacteria; Oceanospirillales; Halomonadaceae.
CCUACGGGGAGCUGCAGUGGGGAAUAUUGGACAAUGGGCGAAAGCCUGAUCCAGCCAUGCCGCGUGUGUGAAGAAGGCCUUCGGGUUGUAAAGCACUUUCAGUGGGGAAGAAAGCCUUGGGGCUAAUACCCUCGAGGAAGGACAUCACCCACAGAAGAAGCACCGGCUAACUCCGUGCCAGCAGCCGCGGUAAUACGGAGGGUGCGAGCGUUAAUCGGAAUUACUGGGCGUAAAGCGCGCGUAGGCGGUCUGAUAAGCCGGUUGUGAAAGCCCCGAGCUCAACCUGGGAACGGCAUCCGGAACUGUCAGGCUAGAGUGCAGGAGAGGAAGGUAGAAUUCCCGGUGUAGCGGUGAAAUGCGUAGAGAUCGGGAGGAAUACCAGUGGCGAAGGCGGCCUUCUGGACUGACACUGACGCUGAGGUGCGAAAGCGUGGGUAGCAAACAGGAUUAGAUACCCGAGUAGUC